This 408-nucleotide long non-coding RNA is filed under the name Salmo salar (Atlantic salmon). RNAcentral's name for it is "lncRNA (ENSSSAG00000114347.1)". Lineage: Eukaryota; Metazoa; Chordata; Actinopteri; Salmoniformes; Salmonidae. The record is from RNAcentral.
GAGAGGGAAGGGGUUAAGGUGUGGUCCUGCUCACCUGAUGUACCAUGCCAGGUGUGUAUAAUACUGACGUUAAUGAGAGAGGGAAGGGUUAAGGUGUGGUCCUGCUCACCUGAUGUACCAUGCCAGGUGUGUAUAAUACUGACGUUAAUGAGAGAGGGAAGGGGAUAAGGUGUGGUCCUGCUCACCUGAUGUACCAUGCCAGGUGUGUAUAAUACUGACGUUAAUGAGAGAGGGAAGGGGUUAAGGUGUGGUCCUGCUCACCUGAUGUACCAUGCCAGGUGUGUAUAAUACUGACGUUAAUGAGAGAGGGAAGGGGUUUUAAGGUGUGGUCCUGCUCACCUGAUGUACCAUGCCAGGUGUGUAUAAUACUGACGUUAAUGAGAGAGGGAAGGGGUUAAGGUGUGGUCC